UUGGAGUCUGCAACUCGACUCCAUGAAGUCGGAAUCGCUAGUAAUCGUGGAUCAGAAUGCCACGGUGAAUACGUUCCCGGGCCUUGUACACACCGCCCGUCACACCAUGGGAGUGGGUUGCAAAAGAAGUAGGUAGCUUAACCUUCGGGGGGGCGCUUACCACUUUGUGAUUCAUGACUGGGGUGAAGUCGUAACAAGGUAACCGUAGGGGAACCUGCGGUUGGAUCACCUCCUUACCUUAAAGAAGC
RNAcentral lists this ribosomal RNA (248 nucleotides) under Salmonella enterica subsp. enterica serovar Typhi. RNAcentral describes it as "partial 16S ribosomal RNA". It matches the Rfam family "Bacterial small subunit ribosomal RNA", at positions 1298 to 1533 of the family's 1533-position model. The record is from RNAcentral. Lineage: Bacteria; Pseudomonadati; Pseudomonadota; Gammaproteobacteria; Enterobacterales; Enterobacteriaceae.